Molecule: long non-coding RNA, 590 nt
Filed under: Cricetulus griseus (Chinese hamster)
Lineage: Eukaryota; Metazoa; Chordata; Mammalia; Rodentia; Cricetidae
Description: lncRNA (ENSCGRG00015030099.1)
Source: RNAcentral
GCCUAGCUUGCUCACCAAGCAUAAUUACACCGCCAGGGAGCUUCCUUGGUCCCCUCAGGCCCUGGCCUGGCCAUCCCCAGCUGCACAUUCGCGAGGCUCCUGGGCGCCUGCAGGGCCGAGGGCUGAACACAGGACUAACGCAGACAUGGAAGCCAGAACAGCAUACCAUGGCAGCCUGGAUUUCAUUGAUCAGCAUCUCUGACUGAUGGAAGAGACGUGGAGAGCAGCUGCUUUAGGAAAGAGCCAGGGAUUGGACAGCCUGAGCCUUCCCAGUGCCAGAGUACGUGUAUCAGCCAUUUCUGGUUGGUCAGGACCCCCAGUGGGACUGGGAGAAGCCUGAAGAGUUGUUGAGGAACUGAAGCCCACUUUGAGUAAAUACUCCAGGAGACAAGUGCGUCCCCCAAGCUGAAUUCUUCCAAGCUGGGGAAUUUAGUUAACUUCCAACAACAAGCUCUGCCUCCUGGGAGCUUGGCCCAGCUGCACAGGUGAGUCAAGCAAUUAGCAUAGGGCAAUUAGGGACACUCCUCAUUUGGUGGGACCCCUGCGGAGCAGAUCUGGUGGGAAAAGCAAAAGAGGCUCCCCGAAAACAG